Molecule: long non-coding RNA, 655 nt
Organism: Sinocyclocheilus grahami
Lineage: Eukaryota; Metazoa; Chordata; Actinopteri; Cypriniformes; Cyprinidae
Exons: 3
Source: RefSeq, a predicted model, not a curated record
GUCUUUCCUUGUGGGCGAGACCGCAUUUUCCGGUUUUCCUUCUUUAAUGCUUUCGGUGUUACAGGAAUUCAAUGAUAUUAGUUUCUCAUGCUCACGAUCAGGAUUAUCGGUAAAACAAUGGAGACCAUCACACAGUAUCCGUGUGCGCCACGCUAACAGCGAACUGAUCAUUAGUAUCGCGCUCAAGAGAAAGACAAGAAGACUACCAGCCAGCUUUCAUUGUAAGAAAGCAACUUGAUCUGGGGUGCGCACGCGUUUUGGAGGCUUUCUGCUGCACUUUCUUGGAUCUAGAAAAUCCUCAUAUCCUCAGCUUUCUCGUAAAUUUACCUUUUUAAUUUUGUGGUCCAAAAUGCCACAGACAACUCCAUAUUCAAGCAAAUUCAACCCUAGCACUUACAGCAGCAGCCAUAGUCACCGCCAACCUGUGGAGGAGAACUAUGGGGGUCUGCACUAUCGUGAUAAUAAGCUUGUGUCUGGUUCUCUGGAAGCCCUGAUACAGCUCUUAGUCCCUACUGUGGACUAUUACCCUGACCGAUCAUACAUUUUCACCUUCCUGCUAAGUUCCCGUCUCUUCCUGCAUCCGUUCGAGCUCAUGUCUCGUGUUUGUUACCUCUGUGUGGACCAUCACAGGGUUGGCGACCCACAGAUAGAUAAG